Molecule: long non-coding RNA, 5399 nt
Organism: Corvus hawaiiensis (hawaiian crow)
Lineage: Eukaryota; Metazoa; Chordata; Aves; Passeriformes; Corvidae
Exons: 7
Source: RefSeq, a predicted model, not a curated record
CCCAUACUCCCAUAAAACCUUCCUGCCCACAUCCCUCCAUGAUACUGCCAAAUCUCACCCCAAGCCUUCCUAUGAUUCACAGAUGAUUUAAUCAGUUCUGAACAGAUAGAUCUUGGGAUCAAAAGAGUGCCAGAAAUGCAAAGCAGCAUAAAAGGACACCACUACACCCAGCAUUCUAUCAAGGCUUCCAGUGUCCAUUACCAUCAACCUGCAUGAAGUUUCACAUACUGAGGAGAGGGCAUGAACCAAGAACUCGACUACAACAGUUACUUUUCCUCCAUCAGCGUAAGCAGGUGCCACUUGACAGAAAUAGCUGACAUGAAACCCACAGGAGAAGGCUCUCUUCCAAGACACUAUUUGGCGUGCAAAAUGUCCUGGGUGCACAGGUAGCAAUCUGCUACUGACUAUGGUUGACCCUUCUCCAUUCUUCCUAAACAAUAACCCAGGAUGACGUGUAGCCUUGUAAAAAUGAAGCUGAAUGGGUAUAUUCAGAUCCAGGGCUUGGAUGUGAAACCAUUUUAGUGGAUGCAAAAUCUCCUCUGAUCAGUGCCUAGACAGUAAACAUCCUUUCUCACACUCCUGGAACUACCUAAAGCAUUUCAUGCUGUCUCAGAGGCUCAGUUCCUUUUCCUAAGAUAAAAAGGCAAAGGUCCAAGGUAACAAUCUGAAAUUGUCUGAGCUUUUUUUCCAGCAAGGCACUGAAAAAAUAAUGAGAGAAAACUGUGGCUUUAUCAGAAACUUUCACACAGCUCUUUUUCAGUGUCUACAAGCAAUCACUGCGUACAGCAAUUGGAAAACCAAGACUAUGUUCCAAGUUGUUACUUCAGAAGUCAUUUAUAUCACCUUUCCAGACAUUGCGUAGCAUCAUCUAGCAGUCAUUCCUGGCUGACUAGGAAACUUGUCUCUGGUAGAUUAUAAUCUGGUUUUAGUAAGUCAUGCUUUGAUCAUGACUGAUGCUGACUAUAGCAUGCAGUGUAUGUUAUAGGAAACUGCAAUUACCAUAAAACAUUGCCAGGCACCUUCUUGGAAAAGCAGGCUCUUACAUGCAUGCCACAUCUUGCUACCAAAAGAAGCCAUCCUGGUGUACACAGUUCUUCCCUCAGGAGGAAUGCACAGUAAAGCACACCAUGGACCUGAGUCAAAUUAUGCAGCACAGUGCUAGAAUGUGCCCUAUAAGAACCCCACACAAGUGGGGGAAAUGUAUGUUUAUGAACACUCAUGAUCAGCUGAAAGACUGCAAGUGAUGACAAAUUGAAAUGACUUUUGAAAUUGAUUUCAAGAGUUAAUUAUGUUCACAGUUAAAACUUUGUUUUUAGAAAGAUAUUUAUAACAGGCAUUUUAGUCAUCUAAUUAAAAUGUGAUUCAGAACUCAUGAGCCUGAGAGCCCAACUUCCCUGAAUUUCCAAAGGGAAAGACAUGAAUACUAGCACAUGGCUCGGGGCACCUAAAUAGUUGUGUGGAAUCAGACAGUGUAAAUAUUUAUCCUUGCCUUCAUCAGUUUAAGUUAAAGAUAACCUAAAGCCAUGUUCCAGUUCAGGUCGGUCACCUCAACGUAAUUACUUUUGUUACAGCAAAGAGGUGCUGAAGCAGAGCAAAGCCGCUGUGGAUGUAGUGAGAGUCACACUGCUGCCGCACGCUAUCAGUAGCGCAGCUGGAACUUCAGCCCACACUUCUGCUCCUGGCUACCUUGGGAUAGGCUUAAGUACGUACUUAUGCCCUGCUCAAUGGGGCCUGUAGAAACAGAUUUCAGCUGUUAUAACAAUGCUUUUGUCUCUGGCACACAUCCAUGCGAGAGACUCCAGCUUCUCCAAUUUCCUGAGCAUUGCUAGUUUCCUGGAAAAUCUGGAAGCAUCACAAUAUUCUUCCCCAUUUCUCUGCCGACCUGCGCUGCAGGGCAAAGGGUUCAAGUGGCUUCAUUCACUUUUAUGAACGUUUCUCUUUUAUUUCUGAAAAAGUGUAAAGAAAUAUGUAGGAAUUCUAGAUAGCAACACUUCAUUUCUUGUCCACUGUCCCAAGGCAAAACUAAGCAUUGCAAAAGAUUUGCCUCAUUUUCACCAGCUACUAACUUCAGUGGCUAUUUCUUUGGUCAUUAAAUUAAUUUUGUAUUCUUCUUAAUAGCUGUUUUCCUGCAUAUCCAGUGGAGUAGGACUUUGGGGCAACUCUAGGUGCUGCUCUCCAGAGUGCAGUGCUUGCUCUCUUCUCGUAGCAGCACAACACUGGCUUGUGCUGGUGUAGUCAGGGGGCCUGGAGGUGCUCAAAAGCCACUGAGAUUUCCAAACUGCUGGCAGUGGCUGUGCCCCCUUAUCCCCCACCCUUGUCCUUCUCCUGUUUUAUUCCAGCAUAAGGCUCAGGAGAAGAAACAAACUAAGCAGAAUUAUCUCAGGAGGAGAGCAGCCUUCAAGGCCAGCGCAGCUGUUGACCUUCAUAGAGCCCAGGCAAGACUGACUCAGAUCAAUGCAGCCUACAAGGGUGUGCACUCACAGACGUAUUAGCAACGGACUUCAAAGAAACCACCUCAAGCCCAAAAACAACCAAAAAAGGAGUCUUCAAAAGAUUAAUCUACUCCUUCCACAGCAUAACAUCCCAUGCUUGCUGCAAACAAUAGUAACAGAAAAAUCUGCCCUAACAAUAUUCAAGGAAGAAUCAGUCACUGAAGUAGACCCAGCUGGAUUCCCUAGGAAGAGCAGAUUCCUCCAACACGGAGGGGACAUUUUUUUUCUAAAUGCUUGUUUCCCUGUGUUCAGAAGCAAUUGGUAACCUGUAUCCACAUUGGAUGUUUUUGUGAAGACUUGUACUGAAGCACAGAGCUAAGAUCAAAGUUCACUCACACUUUUGAGGCCCAACUGCAUCAUUUCACAUGGCACAGGAUCACAUUGGAAGGCAACAACAGCAGAAUGAAGCCAACACUGAUGCUGAGUCAAGUCAACCAUGGGACAAGGUUCACACAUCCAAAAUUAUUGCUUCAUUACGCAUAGGCAACUGCAUACUGCAGCACUGGCAUUCACAGACUUAUGCUGAUGCUCUAAUUGGUUGCUCAGCUUUAAUUAUAGGCAGACAUGGCAGGAGCAUGCAUGAAAAUGAAGUUUUUGUUGCAGAGGUGCUUGGAGAGCAAGUGUUCCAGCAGCAAUCGCCAGCAAGUCGCAGCCACCACUAGAAAGAUUACACCUUUCUAAAGACACUGAAGCCAAGAAGCCAGUAGGAUACCUGACAGUGAGAAGAUGGGCACAGAGAAACACAGGUUUCUCCUCCACACCACUCAUUCCUAGUGGACAGUCAAGCAUCACCCUGGGAGGAAGGUGUUGCAGAGGGAGGUGAGGUAGCUCAAACCUGAAGCUCCAGAGCCAAGCCACUACCGCUGGUGUCACCACUUGGUACAUGCUGCCACAUACUGGCUUGCACAACAGCCUCCUCACGUGGUAUGCAUGGCUUUUAAUAUCUCCCUCUUCAGACUGAAUAGCUACCAUGGCAUUUAGUGUUUACUACAGCUUUUGACAAAGUGAAUUCUGGCAAAAUUGAGCACAAGUCCUCUGAAAAAGCAGAACUUUGCCCAGUGAGAAAAUUUCCUGGCCACUUCUGUGACAACCUGAAGACUCUGCUGGAAGGAUAGGGAGGUCCACAACAUCACAGAGCAGCUUGUCACAUCAGUGUGAGUUCAGGUUAUUUGGAGGCAACAGCUGAUAACCACAGCUCUGCAUGCGCAGAUAAAAACGUGACUCUGAGCAAUCUGCAAGAACGGAUGAACCGCUCUUCCUGCUGUGUGCAGCGUGACUGACCCGCGACCGGCUGUGAAACAAGUGCCUGGAGCAGGAUGUGAGGCUGGCCCAGAGGUCGGACAGAUGCCAGCAGACACCCACCAUGGGCUGCAGCCCUUCCCACACACACACACACAGCUGCAUCGUGCUUGCCAGGGCCAAGGGUUGUUAAGACCCAGGCAAUCAGCAGGGCAGUAAGGUUGCUGAGCCCCAAAACACAGUAGGCAGCCUCAGGGAGUUAUUUUCAGUGUCAGACAAGAGCACUUUGGUGGAGAGCGGAACAAACCUCACAGGUCUAGGUAGUGUCCAGGAAGGACAAACGAUUAACGGGGAGCCAAAGCUUUUCUAAAUCCAGCUGUAUUUCAAAUCUCCAAGCCACUAUGCUAAAAUACCCAACACUCUGUGGCAAAGUGAGCCUAAGACAGGAGACAUGAUAUCUUUGCCUAAGACUGAUGGUUUUCUUAGUUAAUUCUUUCUUUCUCCCAUUUCUGUGAGAAUUCAUGGACUUUUAGACACUAUUUAAAUGAAAUUUCAAGCACUAGCAAGCUGCAUCCUGGCACCUAACACAAUGCAAGAUUCUCCAGCCCAUUGCUACACAAAACCCCUAGGGGACUGUAGGAGAAAAACAGUAAUCAAUAAAAUACUAUUGCGUGUGGCACUUAAACCAAAAGGCGUGUUCUUCAAAGAGCAGUGCUUAGAGAGCAGACUUCUGUGAGCAUGCUGGUACUCAGAUCUCAUUAAAUAAAAGCACUAUCAGGUUAAUUAGUUAAUGUCUUGUAAGAACAUUGACGAAAUAUGAUAUUGGGUAUAUCAGUGUGAGCUGUCAUUUAUUUCAGGGGUAGUGGGGCAUAUUCUGUAUUUGACUGUGCCAGUACAAUCCCCUUUGGCUUCAAUUGUGGGAUCUGACUAAAGACAAGAUAUCAGAUCAGGACAGAAUCUGGCCUUUAAAAAUGCUGAUUUUAACUUCAGCCAUCUACUCCUGCCUUUAAAUUCUACCCCAAAGCAGGGAAAACUGUUUUCUUAUAAAAACAAGAGGAAUAUUACACCUGCAGAAAGCGGUUCUCCCUUGCCUGCAAUUCCACUCAAGCCACAGAACAGUACCAUCUAUUCAGAGGGAAGCAAGCUCAGGCAACUCUGAGACAUACAACAUAUGAUGAGUGCUACAGAACAGUGGUAUGGACAACAGGGGAGUUAUUACACCAUGACAGAUGCAUACCCAGACUACACUGGCUCCUAAGAGCUCUGCAGAAAGAAAUCAGAGCUAGACACAUCUGUGCCAAUGUCAAAAGGUCUAAGAAAAGGGCAAUAUGAUAUUGAAGAAAGAACAGCUUAUCUCAAGAGUAAUUUUUAAAGGCUGUCCUGGGAGGCUGGGAAGAACUAAGACUACCUGUGUGUGUGCAACACCUCUCCACCCUCAGGAGCAGAAGAAACAUAUUGUCCUUCUCUGCAGUCAGAGGGUAAAGAGUGGAAGAGAGCACAGCCUUGGGGACAUGCAAGGCCCCAGUUCUGAGGGGAGUAGCAGUGGUCAGGGACUGAAGCCCCUGGUGAAACCACCCCAGCAUCCCAAAUCCCAUGUCCUGCAGCAUCCCUUCACAGCCCAGUGUCUUGGAUGGUGCCAGCCUGGGAAAUAAAUAUGAGCAGGAUACA